AUACGGAGGAUCCGAGCGUUAUCCGGAUUUAUUGGGUUUAAAGGGUGCGCAGGCGGCCAUUUAAGUCAGCGGUUAAAUCGUGGGGCUCAACCCCAUUCUGCCGUUGAUACUGGGUGGCUUGAUUGCGGUCGAGGUUGGCGGAAUUCGUUGUGUAGCGGUGAAAUGCAUAGAUAUUACGAAGAACACCGAUUGCGUAGGCAGCUGACCAGACCGCAAAUGACGCUCAUGCACGAAAGUGCGGGGAUCGAACAGGAUUAGAUACCCUGGUAGUCCGCACAGUAAACGAUGAAUACUUGUUUUCGGCGAUACAAUGUCGGAGGCAAAGCGAAAGCGAUAAGUAUUCCACCUGGGGAGUACGCCGGCAACGGUGAAACUCAAAGGAAUUGACGGGG
RNAcentral lists this ribosomal RNA (392 nucleotides) under uncultured bacterium. Its description in RNAcentral is "partial 16S ribosomal RNA". It matches the Rfam family "Bacterial small subunit ribosomal RNA", at positions 523 to 918 of the family's 1533-position model. The record is from RNAcentral.